UCCAUAAACCCGAAAAGGCCAGGGUUCAGAGAGCUUCCAGACUGACGAACACGUGGAGGCACCAGGCAGGUGGUGCCCUGGAAGAGGACAUGGAAGCUCCGAAUCCCUGUUCACUUCCUCCAUCUGCCUGUUCCUGAGUUAUAUCCUUCUAUAAAAAACCAGUGAUCUAACAAGAAGCCUGGCAAGCUGGUUGUGGCCUUGGUGUUCAAUGAAUUAGUCAUACCAGAGCAGAUGUGACUGCAAUUUUCUUGGUCGUCCCUCAGAAUCACAUGAUAGCUGCUGCUGCUCCAACCAUCACAAAUGUAUUUAUAACAGAUAAGAGGAGGAAGGUCUUUCAUAUUUGAUGCUUACACCACCUCAGAAAAAAUCCAAAUAGGAGUGCUCCCCUCCACCACCCUGAGCCCUGCACUUAACAGGGAACAGUGGGGAGUCGGGCUCCGGGAGGUCACAAGACAGCCCCUCAAGGCGCUCUUUCUGCCCUGUGGCCCCUGCCUCACCAAGAUUCACAGAGUCAUCGUAUGGCCACAGCACUGUGUCGCUGCUUGUUUUUCCUGGAGCGGGGCAGGCCUUAUGGAGGCUGAAGAGAAGCGGCAGCAAUGUCUUCUCUUGAGUCAGGCACUUCAGACGGGGGAACCGAGGCCCCGAGGAAGUAUCCUGCCCGAGGCCGCACAGCUCAGGGCCCUGCAACGCCUUUCCUACAAGGGGCUGCGCUCCAGCUGAAGCUGUAGGGAGCACCAGCCAGCCUCCUUUCCCAGAAUCUAGGGCUGAGAACAGAACCUCAAGGAGAAUGUUACCCACCACAAGUCCAGCAGCACUGAGAGGCCAGUCAACCUCCCUCUCUGCAAGGCAUUGUUUUCUCAACUCUGUAUCCCCUUCCAUCCUGGCCCCGCAACAUCAGAGCACAGUGCCCUACAGGUCUGCAAGCAGCCUGACUUCCCUGCCCUAUAGGGUGCUGAGGGUCGUAGCUGCUUUCCAGCCAAGUCUUCCUUGCCCCAGAUCCUUCCACCUUCACCAGGCGGAGACUCCCCAAGGAUGGCCCCAAGCUCUGAAGCUGGAGAUGCCCUGCAUUCUCUCCCAGAACAAUUCCUUGCUCUGUGAAGGCCCAAGUUCAGCUCUGGAUAGUCACUGCCUUCAGGCAAGGGUAGAUCCAGGUUCUGAGGGACCCUGAAGUUUAUGCAGUUUGGGGGGCCUGCUUUAAGAAGAAUAAUGCAAAUACACACAUUCAGAAUGCCUCAGUCCCUCGGAAGGGCCCUGCCGACAAGGAGCCUGCCCUCCCAGGCCCAGCAGGCUAGGGCUGCCCCACAGUGGCCUCACUCUGGGAAGUGGCUGGUGGGGCUCCCAGUGGACAGGGCUGAGCAGUGUGGGGGGCACUCCAGCCGCCUAACAAGGGGCCUCCUCGCCAUUGUUCCAUAGGUGAGUCACUGGGUUUCGGGCCUCAUUCAACAAAGCAAAGUAGAUUCUGCUUCACUCUUGGCCACAGUGGGAAGACGUCUGCGAAGUAGGCUGGGCGAAUUCUCAGCCACCUCCACGCUUGGCGCUUGGGUCUAGCUUAGUGACAAGCAUGAAUGUCAACUCUGCCAUGUGCAACACAUGGGAACUUGGGCAAGUUACCUGCCCUGAUUCCACCUGUAAAGUCAGGAGGUUACCCCAGGUAGUUUGUUUAGUGUUAAAUGAAAUAAGCCAUGGAAGUUCAGCUCCAAGACUGGUGUCAAUUAUGACUUCUUUUCAAGAAGCCCUACAAUACUGUUCCUGCUCGGACGUUCUAAGACUUUGUAUGGUCCCUGCAUGCCCUUUUCACUAAGGCCCUGGAUUCUGUAUUGCCCCAAAGCCCCUUUACUUUUUUUCUCAAAUAUCUUUCCAGAAAAUGGAGAAGAUGUGUCCAUGGUAACUAGAGGGAGGUGGCCAGCAGAGACAGAGGGGAGAAGAGUUGGUUCGGAACAGGCCCAGAAGACGUGAGCCAGUGGUAAUUGCAGACAGCCCCCUUCUUGACAGUCGCCGUAGGAUAAACAGCAAAUCCCACCUUCUAGGAUGUCAGAGGCCUGAGGCAGCAGGUGUUGACUGUAGUUUUCACACAGGACCCUGCCCUCGUUAGGCUGCUUUGGGGCCCAUCCACCAGGCCCAAGCUUUUGGAUCCAAGCCCAAAUGAGCUGCUACUAUGGACAGUGAGACUUUUACUUUUGCAGGCUAAGAAGCCAUCACGCUUUUCCAGCCCCAGCAGGACCACCGUCCCGGGAUUGACAGCUCAUUUAAACAGGUGCAGGCCUUGUGGCCGGUUCUUGAAGGGGCAGACACUCAUACUCAGACAUGUUGCCUACGCUGCACGUCUUUCUCAUUUUUCUAACCUCUUCCAAAGUUAGCAGACAGUUUCAGGAAGCCAUGCACUCUGCCAGGGGCUGAGGACAAGCUGGGAGGCCACGGGGAUGGCAGUGUGCUCCAGCAUCACCCGGGCCAAGCAGUGCAGGCGGCCUGGGUCAGCUCCCUUCCAAUGGGAGAAGGACCAGCGUUCGUCCGGCAUCAGGAGAUCCUCCUGGCCAAUGCGAGGCCAGGCCGGACCCCAGUGACUCACCGCACAAUGUGUUUUCUCAAGCAGAUGUUCCCGGACCACUUGAAAGACUGGCAGAGUAUUACUCUCCGGUUUAAUGUUCCUCCUUUUGUUAAAAUUCCUAACAUAAGGAAGUGGGGGCUGGGGAUUGAAGGGAGCGUCGUUUUACAGCCCAGCCCCCUUCCCCCGGCAGCUCAGCUCUUGCUGGCCCUGCAGGGGUGGCGGGAGACAGAAGGGCCUCCCAGGAGAAAUCUAGGGGCUUCCCCGCCCUCUUCUUGUUUCUCCAUCCAGGCUGUUAAUUUUACUGGAACUCACUUGAGUAGAGCAUGUGAGGCCAGAGGAUGGAGAAGGGAAAUAACUCCAGGACAACUUGCUAUAACAAUCCGGGCCCUGGGGAGGCCUCCUGGGGGCACCCACACCCAGGGACAUGAGCCAAGCCUCAAACUUCCAACCCCCAAGAUGAAGGCUGAAAACUGGGUUAAGUCAGGAAGUAGAAUGAACCCUUUUCCUCCACUUCAAGAUGCACUUUUCACAUUUUUCAAAUUAUUUUCCAAUUUUAUUAUUAAAAUUUCAAACAUUUAGAAGAAUAGUACAAUGAAUCUCCACACACCCAUCACUCAGCUUUAAUAAUUAUCCACAUUGAGCAUUUCUGAAAUUGGGAUACAUUUAUGGUCAGUGGAUAUAUUUAAUGUAGUAUUUCUUUACCUCACCAAAUCUAUUAAAUCAUCAAGGUAACUGACAACUGGUUAAGGAUGAACAGGCUGAUGCAAAUGAACAGCAGGGAAGAAAAUUCUCCAGGAAACAACCUUGCCCUUGAGCAAUUUUCCCUACAUUUUUACCACCGGAGAUCCUUUCUGUUAUUUUCUUCCCUUUGGCCUUGGAGUUUGAAGGCCAUUUAUUAAUGUUUCCAUUUAUUAUUAACCCACUUAUUUAUUUAUUAGUCCAUGUAUUUAUUAUUAAUGUUUUCUCCAUUUUAAAAAUAAUUAAAAGCCAAUAGUAACUUGUACACCAGUGUUCAUAGCAGCAUUAUGCACAAUAGCCUAAAGGUGGGAGCAACCUAAAUGUUCAGUGAUGGAUGAAUGGAUAAAACAAAUAUGGUGCAGCCACUCAAUUAUUCAGUCUUAAAAGGGAAGGAAAUUCUGACAUGUGCUAUAUAGCAUGAAUGACCCGUGAAGACAUUAGGCUGAGUGACCUAAGCCAGUCAUAAAAGGACAAAUACUGUAUGAGUCCACUCACAUGAGGUUCCUAGUAUAGUCAAAUUCAUAGAGACAGGAGGUGGGAUAGAGAUUCCCAGGGGCUGGGAGCAGAAGAAGAUGGGGAGUUUGGGGGUACAGAGUUACUGUUUAGGGGACUGAAAGCAUUUGGAAAUGGAUGGUGGUGAUGGCUAUACAACAUUGUGAAUGUAUUUAAUGCUACUGAACUGUUCAAUUAAAAAUGGUCAUGGUGGUAAAUUUUAUGUAUAUUUUGCCACAAUAAUUUUUUUUUAAGAGGUAAAAUAACAUUAAGGAUUUGAAGACAGUGACUGCAGAGCAUUAAACCGUGUGGGCCUUUCCGAGUGUGAGGUCCUAUGCACUGGUCAAAUGCCCAUGAGGCCACCCCAACCGUGCCCGGCACUGGAAAAGCAGCAGCAGAUGGCACCUGGGCUCUGCUGCCCAGGAGCUGUGGGCAGCCCCAGACCCUACGACCCUUCACCCCAACACUUGCUGUGGCUGCAAGAGCUCCUCCCCAGGCUUCCUGACUCCGGCGCUAGGCCUGGUGCCGUCUCCCACUCAGUCUUGUUUUCCCUAGUGAAAGUCAUGACCUUCACCUGCCAUGCCUUCCUCCCUGUUAGUGCAGGAAUCAAAUGAGAAAGUGCCAAACCCUGGCUUCUGGGUGAGCAUCUGGGUGAUGCAAAUAGAGCCACUGAGAUUAGAAUGAGGGCCCCCACCCUUUACAGGUGACAGCUACUCUGGACACAGUGUGGAGGUGAGUGAGUCAGAGGCAGGAAUACUGAUAAGAAGCAACAGUGAAAGGAUCCGUGGAUCAACCGACGCCUCACUACCGGAAAGAAUCCACAUUUUCUCUGGUAAAUUAUCAAGGAAAAGAAGAGGCGCUCACCUUCUGGACUUUUUUUUCAAUCUCUGCUUAUAAACAGAUGUCAGCUCCGUCUGGUGUCAUCGUUCUGCCCAGCCUGCUAUUCCACAAGCAUUCCCAAGGUCCCCAGCAAGGGCCACAAGACAGGCCAAAUUUCCCCUGAUUCCCUUUUAGCACUGUCUAUGGGAGAGGUUGCAUCCACCUUUUUGGCUUCCCAUGUUGCAGAACUGAGGCCUCUUGGCUUUGAUUUAUCCUUCCUCCCUUCAUUUUCCAUGGACCUUCUUCUGUGUAUGUAGACUUCCCUUGAAAACAUCAGGAAAAUUCACUAGAUAAAAAAAAAACCAAAAACUUACGGUCAGGAGCAAGACAAUGAUAGCUCUUGUCUCAAAUAACAAAAUGCAUAAAUACAUAAAUUCCAACAGAGCAUAGACAUUGUUCAUGAGUCAGAAUAGAGAUACUGGUCUGGAAUUUACUUUAGUGAAAUUACUUUAAUCCAACCCUGUGGUCUUUGAGCCCUAGUUUCUUCUUGUGUCAAGUGGAGAUAAUAUUUACUACUUCUCAGAGGUGUUGUGGAGACCAAAUAAAAUUUGUGUUUAUGAAGUCCAAAAAGCCCGCACAGAUGAACUUCACAAGGACUGACAGUACAUCAGUUGGGCAGAGAGAGAGUCUGUGAUUAUUGCUCAUUCCCCCCACAGACCUGAAGGCCAGCAGUCAGUUGCAUGCAGUGAGCCCGGGAGCUUUCAGCAAAGCCACCUUCUGCGCGAGAAUAUGGCUAUGUCUGUUCUCCUUCCAGAUCUCCCAGCAACAUGUUUGUCCGGUGGUCUGGGGGGCCUGGUCCCCUGCCUUGAGAAGCUCUACCUUAAAGUGACGCCAGAACUGAGGGCCACUGUCAUAUUGCCUGUGCUGGAAUUUACUUUCAAAUACUUUGGAAUAAAUUGUAAGAUGUGUGUAUGUGAAAAUGAAAUUAUAUAUCCAUUUGCUUCAAAUAGGAAAUACAUUCACAUGUUAAAAAAAUCA
This is a long non-coding RNA of Manis pentadactyla (Chinese pangolin), 5632 nucleotides long. RefSeq lists it as uncharacterized. The record is from RefSeq and is a predicted model, not a curated record. The transcript has 4 exons. Lineage: Eukaryota; Metazoa; Chordata; Mammalia; Pholidota; Manidae.